AGGAAAGUAAAUUAAAUGAAGAGAAGAGUAAGAAUGAACUUGUGCAUCUAGAGGAAGAAAAACAGGAACUGAAAGCGGAAUUGAAGGCACUCCAUGCUAAACUUGAAGAGCAGCAUCAACAAACUGAAGAACUUCAGGAGAAGCUUGAUGCAUGUAGUAAAACUUCACAGAAUGAAGCAACUAAAAAGGACAAGCAAGUGAAAGCUUUAGAGCUUAAGCUGGGCACUUUGAAAACAAAAUUGGACAACAAAACAAAGGCACAUGAUGACAUCCAGAAAGAGAAUAAAGGCCUUCUGAAGCAGAUCAGCGCAAGUAAAGAAGAAAAUACUCAGUUAGAAACAGAGAUUACUAAAUUGAAAGAGGAGUCGCAGAGGGUUCAGAGGUGUCAUGAGGAGGAACUUCAGAGAGUCAGCAGUGACCUUACUGCCAAAUCAGGCUCAGAGGCAGAGCUCCAAGA
Long non-coding RNA from Sardina pilchardus (European sardine), 457 nucleotides. RefSeq lists it as uncharacterized. The record is from RefSeq and is a predicted model, not a curated record. NCBI's taxonomy places the organism in Eukaryota, Metazoa, Chordata, Actinopteri, Clupeiformes, Clupeidae. The transcript is spliced from 6 exons.